GAGCAAUCCAUCUAUACAGCAGAAUCAAACUGUGAGUAGUUUGUUGGUGAUUUUACAGAAUUUUCUCUGAUGUCACUCCUUGUGAUUAUACAAAUGAUUAAGGCUGGUAUUUUUUUUCCAAGAAAGGUGGCAACCCUAACUACUCUUCACAUACUCUUGCUUAAAGGAGCACUAUAGGGCCAGGAACACAAUCAUGUAUUUCAGACUCUAUUAUGUUAAAACCA
Pelobates cultripes (western spadefoot toad) is the source of this 224-nucleotide non-coding RNA. The record is from the annotation of a GenBank genome assembly. NCBI's taxonomy places the organism in Eukaryota, Metazoa, Chordata, Amphibia, Anura, Pelobatidae.